Non-coding RNA from Leptonychotes weddellii (Weddell seal), 1655 nucleotides. Lineage: Eukaryota; Metazoa; Chordata; Mammalia; Carnivora; Phocidae. The record is from RefSeq and is a predicted model, not a curated record.
GGGGGGGAUUUUUUUUUUUUAAAGGCAAAGUUGACCACUGUUCACUGCCCACGUGAUCAGUUGUAUGAGUACAAUGCUGCAUGCUAGUUGGUUACAUAAUACCCAAUUCAGUGACUGAAGGCGGUGAUAAUGGAUGGUGGUGUAUACAAGAUGGCACUGCUGUCUUUUGAACAGAGCCUGGCUCUGCAGCGCCACUUCAUCUUUUUAAACACCCCAGAGCUCUGUUUGUUGUUGGUCGUGUCUUUCCUUUGAAACUAGUCGCAAGAGAAGUUACGGUUCAGCGGAGCCAGCCACUCUGCAAUCGUAGACUGGAAGGAAGAUCCUGACAACACUGAAAAGGCUGUCGAGACAUGGAGUUGCUCUCUGGAAAGCUUUGGAACGAAUCAGCCAUGUUGGGCUGUGUGAAAUGCACUGAAGACAAAAGAGGGGGGAAAAUAGCCUACCUUUUGGAAAGCUGUGGAAUAAAAUCAGAGGGAAAGCCAGGGAACACUAUGAGAAGACACGCCUUUCCUCUGUCACAGACCAAGGUCAGAGGCACCAAUGAAUGGAAUACAUAUUUACCUACUUCAUCAUCUGGGGUCCUAGAAAUGAGAGGCUGGGUGGGGGAUGCUGUUUAACUCCUUCAGUGCCAACGGCUAGGCCUCCAACAGCAACGGUAUUGAUUAUGAUCAAAUAAAAAUUAUGGCAUAACUUCCCAGAUUAUUAAUAAUCUAGGGCCUUUGUUGCUGUUCCUGUUGACAGCCUGCAUUUUCCUCCAGUUAUGAACCCCUAGCAGUAAUUUAAAAGGCACGCAAAUAUACAAAAAGUCAAUUCGUAAAUUCAGAGGUUGGAAGGUAGAAAGUGACUGGAUUUAUGGAUUAUCUGUGGAUUUCUCUAUUAAUCCCCAGAUAAAUCCAUAAUUAGGGAUAUCCACACUAUCCCUAUUUACCAUUAACUAAUUCGUACCUAAUUUAACAGUGAACUUUUUUUUAACCCAUUAGCCUGUUGUUACCUGCCCCUUCACCAUGUCAAUACAAUUUCAAAUGGUUGUUUUACAAAAGCUUUCCUUUUUAAAUUUGAGUAUCAUGUAUUUUUUUAAAAUUACAGAAUAUGAAAUCUACAUCGGCACUGAUCUUUAUCACAGAAUAUUGUGUGCUUCUGUAUGGCACUGAGCAGCAUAAACCAACCCAUACAAGCUACAGAAAAGGUAUUUUAGGGCAAAAAAGUAUGGUAUGGGCAAAAUCAUUUUUGGAAUCAUGUAGACAUUGGGUCAUCUUCAGUACACAUCAAAUUUGUCACAAAGUCAGCCAUGGAAAUCCACUAGGAGGUGAUUUUCUUUUAGGUCAGACAAGGUCUGGAUAAGAGACUAUACAGGAUUCCUAGUUUAAAUUGGAAGCAUCAGUGCACUGGUUGAUCUCGUCUUUUGAAUGGACUUUAGAAGCUGGAUUGCAUAAUCGAAGAGCCUCCUCUAGCAAUUCAGUAGAAGCCCUUGAUGCUGAGAUAAGACAUCCUAUACAGAGUAAUAAUGUCCCAUUUGAAUAUUUCUAAAUAUACUUUGCAUUUUGGGGAAAAUGAAUUGUGUUAUAUAAUCUGUAGAUCCCACCACUUAAACACUUUUACUUAGCAGUGACUAUUUCAUUCAUUCUGACUAUCACUACUACCAGUUAACAUUCAGA